AAUUCUGGACAAUGGGGGAAACCCUGAUCCAGCUAUCCCGCGUGUGCGAUGAAGGCCUUCGGGUUGUACAGCACUCUUGUCGGGGAAGAAAAGGGUCUGGGUAAUACCCGGAACUGACUGCGGUACACGCAGAAUAAGCACCGGCUAACGAAGUGCCAGCACCCGCGGUAAUACGGAGGGUGCAAGCGUUAAUCGGAAUAACUGGGCGUAAAGCGUGCGCAGGCGGUUCGGAAAGAAGGAUGUGAAAACCCAGGGCUCAACCUUGGAACUGCAGUCUUAACUACCGAACUAGAGUAUGUCAGAGGGGGGUAGAAUUCCGCGUGUAGCAGUGAAAUGCGUAGAUAUGCGGAGGAAUACCGAUGGCGAAGGCAGCCCCCUGGGAUAAUACUGACGCUCAUGCACGAAAGCGUGGGUAGCAAACAGG
This 424-nucleotide ribosomal RNA is filed under the name uncultured bacterium. Its description in RNAcentral is "partial 16S ribosomal RNA". It matches the Rfam family "Bacterial small subunit ribosomal RNA", at positions 360 to 776 of the family's 1533-position model. The record is from RNAcentral.